AAAAUUUUACUUUCCCCCUCCAUCAUUUUAGGCUCCUUUUUAAGUUCUGCUGGUCCUAAUUGUCAUCUCUUAUAGGUACUGAGAAGUUUAUUAGUUGCUUUUGCCUUAUUCCUUUUUUUUUUCUUUCUUUUUUUUGUCUUUUUAGGACUGCACCCAUGGCAUAUGGAGGUUCCCAGGCUGGGGGUUGAAUUGGCGGCAUAGAUGCUGGUCUACACCACAGCCACAGCAACACAGGAUCUGAGCCUUGUCUGCAACCUACACCAUAGCUCACAGCAAUGCCAGAUCCUUAACCCACUGAGUGAGGCCAGGGAUCGAACCUUCAGCCUCAUGGAUACCAGUCAGAUUUGUUUCCGCUGAGCCAUGAUGGGAACUCCCGCUUUUGCCUUAUUCAAUACUAUCCAACAAAAACAGGAAGGUGUAACUGAGGAUUAAGACAUUCACUUGGGCAGCCAUUCAUUUGCUCUGAUGCAGCUGGUUAAGGCAUAGGCCGUGAAAUAGUUCAGGAAACACAGCCACCAAGACUUUGUUCAUGUUUUUAUGCCCAAGUUUGUUUGAAGUCUGGAGAACAGCCAGUCCUAUAUCCAGGCAUAAUGAUAAAAAUAAUAACAGCUGUUGUCUGAGCAUCUAUUGUGUGCUAGGCACUAUGCUAGACACCACUGGCCAACUCUCAUCAUCUUACAGGAACCGAAAUGGGAGGCACUGUUCCUGGUUUUGAUAGCAUGGGAAAUGGUUCAGAGAUCACAUGGCUCAUCCAGCAACCCUGCCAGGACUGGCUCAAUCUGGCUGACUCGAGAUCAACCUUUGACAUUUUAGUGCAUAGGUGAGCACCUAACUUACAUUCUAGACUGGUCCUGUGGCAGGGAUUCCUAUUCAUUGCUCAAUAUCCAUUUUCCCUCUUUCCGUAAUUGGAAACACUAAUUUUCAUCUAACUGUAUUUCUCAGCCUUUCUUACAGCUAUGUGCAGCCAUUUUCUGAAAUCCUGUACAAUGGAAUAUCAGUGAAAGUGUUACAUGACAGCUUCUAGGAUCCUUCCUUAAAAGACAGCCAACAGAUUUCCUUCACCAUUUAAAAAAUGUUCUUGCUUACUGGAAUGUUGGUCUAAGAUGCUCCAGCAGCUAUCUUUGGCCAUAGAGAUGAGGACCCAAAUGUAAGGAUGGUGAAGUAGAAAACUAGAAGGAGCCUGGGUCCUUGAGGACUUUUUGGAACAGAACUGAUGUUCAGCAGAUCGUUCAGCAGUUCCGAUCUACGUAUCGUGGAACUUCUACACGAGAGAGAAAUAAGCCAAUGUAAUCCUAGAAUUCUGUUACUUGCAGAGUAUCUUAAUGAUAACCACUUCUUGAAUGAACAAAGUUCCUUGAAGGACACUGGAUGGUUACUGGUGCUUGAAUGUCUCCCGUAGAGCUUUGUUCUAUUGCAUUAGGAUAUAUUCUUAUAGAGUGUCUGAGAAGGAAGGUAACAUCACUCAAAGUGCAUGAAUGGAGCACAAGGAGCCACAAAAUAGGCAAGCUUAAAGUGCCUGUAAUUUUGUGGAAGGCCUUGGUGGGUGCUGCUGUUGGGGCAGGGGUGGGGGGCUGAGAUGGACAGGAGGAAAGGACAGAGCACAGCUAGGGCCUUCCUUGCUCUUGACGAUAUGGAAGAGGCCCAAUCUGAAUUUCGUCUACUUAACAGUUUAGUUCAGGGCCUAUUCUCUUCUAGGAAAUUCACCCAUAUCUGUGAUUACAAAAGUGCAAAAGUUCAGGUUACAUCAGUAUUGGAUUAACAGUGAUGAUGACACCUUUGUAUCAGUAAUACUGAACCGAAACAGAAGAACUAUGUUCAGACGAGUAAAGCAUUCUCCCAAUACAGCCUCAACUUCCCUUAGGAAAAGGUGAGCACCCUCUCUAAUCAGUUGUCCUUUGACGUAUUUAUUCAUAAAUUCAUGCAACAAAUGUAUAUAUUGGGUAUUACGUGUCAGGCAUACAUUCUGUACAUUCUAAGGAAAAGUAAAUCUUAAGGUGAUAAAAUAAUUUCUAGCCCAAAUAAUCUUCUUUAAAGCAAACAUGAAAUCCCAUUUAAAAAGCAAAGAAAAACUGCUGAUUACCUACCAUAUUUAAGGUGCUGUCCUAAGUGUUGUAGGGUAUGUGAAAAUGAUUGGGUAAGGCAAAGCCCUGGCCUUCAAGGAAUUUAUGUCCCAGCCGGUGGGAUAAGAAAGCCCAUAAAUAACCGUAAUACAAAGCAGAAGGAGGUUAAAUGCCUUAGAAGGUACGGAGCACAAUGAAGGUUCAGAGAGGGAGCCCUGCUGAGUCACCGAGGGGUGACCUCCCCUCAGGAGAGAGAUGACCAUCCCAUGGAUUGGAUUGGUGUAACGCCCCAUUGUUAUGGCUUUCUGCUUGCGGAAUAGGGCAGAAAGUAGAGAUGUUCCACCCCUGAUGUCCCCACCACUGGGGCGAUUUCAGAAGAGGCCUUCCAUCAGGACAUUGAAGAAUGUGUUACUUUUUCAGCAGAAAGAUUUUAUGAGUUCAAAGUUCUUUUCCAACUCUAUAAUUUCACGGUUCUUCUACUUCUGUCCUUAACAGAAGCUCUUACCCUCAAGACUACCUAGGGUUUCUGAGUCUUGUCAUAUUAUAUGUACUUGGCAGAAGCAAAGCGCAAACAUGGGCAGGCACAGAGACCUCCAAGGGACCCUACCUCAUGAGUCUUCUUUUCAUCUUUUCCAGUAGAGGUGACAGAGAGAAAUAUCCAAAAGGAAGUGUUCAACCACGCUGAAUGAGCACGCAUGAGAUGAAGACUUAAAAGCGUUUUGGUCAAGUGAUGGAGUCUCCUGAACUGACCUCUUUCUUAGUGCUGAGUCUGAGAUAGCUGGAAUCAAGACCCUGCAUGAGGCAAGGUGGGUGGACUCAGGUAAGCAUUUCCAUUUCCUCAUCCUAGCAGACGAGAGACACACAUUCUACUGCAUUCCAUCAAGCCUGGUACAGAACAGGGGCACCCUGCCACUCUAUCCACAAACCCUCGUCCCAGGGUGAACCUAGCAGACAGCUUGGAUGGGAAGCUGCCAUUUCUCUUCCUGGCCCUGGGAAGAGAUGAGUCAUGAACAUGAGCGGAGGACAAGGAAUUGGCUCACUAGACCUACAGAGCUGGGAUCCCUCUGGAUAAUGUUCCCUUCAGAAUGAAAGGAAAAUGGCUGCAUAUCUGAGCCCGUGCUCAGUAACUAUAGCCUGUGGCAUGUGGCCCGUGGCAUGUGGCCCUUCAUGUACCAGUCUUUCACUUUAUCUCUUGAGUCAUUAUGCUCACAGCUAAUAUGUUAAUUGCUGAGGAUCCACAUGCAAUUUGGAAAAGAGUCUCCUUUGUGAAAAGGAGAACAUUUGUAGGUCAUGGUGACCAUCUUGGGAGCAUCUGAGAGGAAAGUUCUGCCUCUUUUGAAUUCCUAACACUGAUAGUCAAAUUUUCCUUGUUAAAAAAAGGUGUGUGUGUGUGUGUGUGUGUGUGUCUGUGUGUGUGUGUUCUAAUCUAGAAAGUAAGGAGAGAUCCUGAGGAACUGAUAAAGUAUGAACAAAUGUACUUCAAAGACUAACAACUGAAUUCUAAAUUCAAAUGAGAAGAAAGUCUUCCUUUAGGAAAAAUCAGAGAAAAGACCACAGGGAGGAAAAGGUAUCAAAUCUAACUGUUAGCAUGUCAUAAUAUUUUGUCAGGAGUUUUUCUCUCAUUUCUGUUCAACAACUGACUUUCAGCUAGCAUUAAUCUUCUAAUCAAAAGGGAACAAAUCUAUUUAUAAUUGACAUAAAUGAUAGUCCUAUUUAUAGUUCUCUUUGGCGUUCCAUGUUUCUCUGUGGGAGAUUUUCCCUGAAACAAAAGCCUACUUUUUGAAGCGACUGUGUUCCAGGGACAGCCUUGAUCAUUUCUGUUGCCCGAGAGAUGUAUUUAAUUAACCUCUUACCCUUACUCACAGGAUUGUGGGAAGCACUGACCAACAAUACAGCUUCUCCUACUUUUGCCCUUGUAAUUUCAGGCCACAGAAAGCAUUACAUGACCCACAAAAGAAAGAUUUUGGAGGAAGCUCUCGAGGAAGAUGCAGGAACUGAAUGCCAUCUUGGCUAACCCAUUUGCAACUUGCGAAUAUACCCUGGCCUGGCACUCCUUCAAUUCGAACAAUGCCUCAUUCAAAUUAUCUCUAGAAACUUGUGGCUGGCCUUGAUUCCCUGAGAUUUUGUGAUGACUCCACAGGUAUUAUCUCACCUGAUACUCACCAAAAACUGAUCAUACCCAUUUUGCAAGCAAAAGAAUUGCCUAAAAGAACCCAGCUCAUAGCCAGCAAAGCCAAGUCUCGUCAGGGUGCUGGGUCUCCUCACCUCAUAUUCAGAGCUCCUUCUGAUACCUAAUGUCUCUUGGUAACAAAAUAAGUAUUAUUCAAACAUACCAGACACUCAUAUUUGGAUUUCUAUUUAAUUUAGAAAAAUCUCUGUUUUGAGGCUUUCUUGUACUGAAAGAAAAGGAACCAAGGCUGCCCGUGUUCUUUGCAUCAGAUCUUGUCUUGACUGGAGGGUACAGAGGAUCAGUGGAAAGGGAGCCUUGGGAUUCUAGGUUGGAUUUGCACUGAACUGGAAUUGUCAUUGGAUAAUCACUGAACUUGAGUUGGAAAGAUUGGCCUGGUAACUUCACAAAAGGAAGUAUUCUUUCAUGAGCUUUCCAUCAAGUCAAAGUCAAAGCACCUUGUUCAUACAGUAUUUCUGGCCUCUCUUUGGCAACUGAGCCCAUCCAUACCUCUACCUAGUCAAGGACCCAGGCAGACAGAAGGUACAUGAAGGUGACAAAUUUCACCUUACUUUUAAACAUCAGUGGAAAACCUCACAAGAUGGAUAUAGGGAGAGGAAAGUGAAAAUCCCUGGUUUUCAUUUGUGAAUAUAUUUUGAGAUCUGCCAUGUCCAGGAAGAAUAGGAAAAAAGAAUGCCAUUUUUAUAUAUCAUUGUUUAUUUUACUGCUGUCUGAUUACUUUGAUAACAAUUCCUACAUACGGGUAAUGGUUGCAUUCUUUGCACCCAGAUUGAAGGUAACCUUAAGGCAGGUUUGAUGUCACACUUUGAGAAUGUGAUUCGUGCCCAUUAAUAUUAGUUGUCUCCACUGGCUUUCUUAUUUCUGUUUUCUCUUGAUUUCCAGCACUAGCCCAGGUACACAGUUGUCCAUGAAACAUUGCUAAAUUAAAUUACAUUUAAGAAGAGUGGCUUUCUUCUUUUUAGUCCCUAUUUUCCAACUAAUCAUUUUGAUUAAAAUCCAUUAAGUUGGAUCCAUUUCUGAAGUCACUGAAUUUUGACCCCAUAUCCUAGAAACUUUUUGACAGCUCUUGUGCCAGGGCAAGCAGGAAUGAGAGCUCCUUUCUGGGCAUUCAGUAACUUUAGAAAUAGACAUUUCUGAAUGCAAUGUGCAGAGCUCUUUCUGUUGCAUUUUUUUCUCCAGGGUAUUUGUGCCCUACCUGACACUGGCUCAAUUCACUAUUUCAGCUGGGCCCGCAGAAAUGGAUCGACUCCUAUAAUUCUGACACAAGACGAGCAUACUUAAAGGGAUUGCUGAUGCACCUUGUGAAACAUGCAGUAGUGAUUUAAUCUGAAGAUCACCACCAGCUUCCUGCAAAAAGGAUCAUGUUCUGUUUACCUAAAUUCCCUCAGUAGUUUCCUUUAGAUGCAGUAUUUCUCACCCCCUACUUGAAAAAUGGGAAGAAGUCCAUGGGAGCCUUCCAACUCAGCCCUGUCUGCAUUUCAAAUGUGCUACUGCCUUCUUAUGGGUUCCCACAGUUAAUCUAGGCCAGGAAGGCCAAAGAAAAAUGGAGAACUUAAUUGCACACAAAUACAGACUGUACCAUCUGUGGACAAGGGAAUCUGUGGGACCUUACAGAGAUUAAUAAAGCAGCCCUCACUUUUGAGGAGCUUCUAGUUAACCAGAUGGUAAAAGCACAAACACUCAAUAAAAUAACACAAUAUAGGAUAGAUGAUAAAUAUUGUAAGAGGAAUAUUAUUGCUAUUCAGAGGAAUGCAAGUUGAUAUCUGGUAAAAGAUUUUACAGAGGAGGUGACAUUUGAGAGAAGAACAGAAAUAAAGUCGAGGAAAAUAAAACAUGUGGUAGUAAGUCAUCUAGGUUGGAUGCUGGAAUAUGUAGGGAGCAUUUGUAAACUCAAAUGCCUAUCAGAGCUAAUCAAUUUAUAUAAAAGAGUGAAGUGAGCCAGAGUAAGGUAACAGAGAAUGGUGGGGAUUUUUGUAAAGUCGAAAGCAUGUGCCAAUCUAGAGGGAAGAUUCAUCUAGUAAAUAUUGACAGAUAAUUCAGAGUUUCAUGAAAACACUGUAUUUGCCAAAAAAAAAAAAAAAAAAAAAAAACCUU
Molecule: non-coding RNA, 6342 nt
Organism: Sus scrofa (pig)
Lineage: Eukaryota; Metazoa; Chordata; Mammalia; Artiodactyla; Suidae
Source: RefSeq, a predicted model, not a curated record